AACGAACGCUGGCGGCAGGCCUAACACAUGCAAGUCGAGCGCCCCGCAAGGGGAGCGGCGGACGGGUGAGUAACGCGUGGGAACGUGCCUCUUGCUACGGAAUAGCCUCGGGAAACUGGGAGUAAUACCGUAUGUGCCCUACGGGGGAAAGAUUUAUCGGCAAGAGAUCGGCCCGCGUUGGAUUAGGUAGUUGGUGGGGUAAUGGCCUACCAAGCCGACGAUCCAUAGCUGGUUUGAGAGGAUGAUCAGCCACACUGGGACCGAGACACGGCCCAGACUCCUACGGGAGGCAGCAGUGGGGAAUUUUGGACAAUGGGCGCAAGCCUGAUCCAGCAAUGCCGCGUGAGUGAAGAAGGCCUUCGGUUGUAAGACUCUUUCUAGUCGAGAAGAAAGGACUGCAGUGAAUAACUAGUAGUUUAUG
RNAcentral lists this ribosomal RNA (421 nucleotides) under uncultured bacterium. RNAcentral's name for it is "bacterial SSU rRNA". It matches the Rfam family "Bacterial small subunit ribosomal RNA", at positions 29 to 474 of the family's 1533-position model. The record is from RNAcentral.